UACGGGGGGGGUAAGCGUUGUUCGGAAUUACUGGGCGUAAAGGGCUCGUAGGCGGCCAACUAAGUCAGACGUGAAAUCCCUCAGCUUAACUGGGGAACUGCGUCCGAUACUGGGGGGCUUGAAUCCGGGAGAGGGAUGUGGAAUUCCAGGUGUAGCGGUGAAAUGCGUAGAUAUCUGGAGGAACACCGGUGGCGAAGGCGGCAUCCUGGACCGGUAUUGACGCUGAGGCGCGAAAGCCAGGGGAGCAAACGGG
Molecule: ribosomal RNA, 253 nt
Filed under: uncultured bacterium
Lineage: Bacteria
Description: partial 16S ribosomal RNA
Rfam family: Bacterial small subunit ribosomal RNA
Source: RNAcentral